GGGCCGCUGGUCUAGUGGUAUGAUUCUCGCUUAGGGAUAAUGCGAGAGGUCCCGGGUUCGAUCCCCGGGUGGCCCC
Molecule: transfer RNA, 76 nt
Filed under: Thermochaetoides thermophila DSM 1495
Lineage: Eukaryota; Fungi; Ascomycota; Sordariomycetes; Sordariales; Chaetomiaceae
Description: Chaetomium thermophilum var. thermophilum DSM 1495 tRNA-Pro
Source: RNAcentral